Long non-coding RNA from Apis dorsata (giant honeybee), 590 nucleotides. RefSeq lists it as uncharacterized. The transcript has 2 exons. The record is from RefSeq and is a predicted model, not a curated record. NCBI's taxonomy places the organism in Eukaryota, Metazoa, Arthropoda, Insecta, Hymenoptera, Apidae.
CAUGACGAAGCCAAUCGUCGAAAUCACGAGGUAUCACGAGGUAUCGUGCCACUCAAAUCUCACCGUUUCACCUUUCAGUUGCAGCUGGUACAGGGUAGGAAAAGAAAGAAAGAAAGAAAAGAAAAAAAGAAACGAAAGCCAAACAAAGUCUGUUAUGGAUUUAAUUUUGAAUCCCGUCGAAUCGUGCAACGUUGGGUCCAAACAGAAGGAGGAAGAAAGACUGAGGAAGCGAGCACGAAAAAGAGAGAGAGAGAGAGAGAGAGAGAAAGGGGUGGAAAACUUUCAUAAUCGCGGUUCGCUUUAUCGGACUUCAAAACUUUCAGAGCUGUUUCUGGAUUACGGAAGCCUGAUAAAGGGCCGUGGAGAGGAGAGGGAAACAGAUCAUCUUUGCCCCCCAUGGAAUUCGGAUUUGCGGCGAAGUUGUAUUUGCGAGUCGACGACCCUGAAGAAAAUUCAUGUGGAAAAGCGCGUUGAUUGGAGAAUCCCGGGAACAAAGGUGUAUUCUCCGAAGGCUUCAACUUCUGAAUGACGACCCCUGAUGAAGUUCGAGAGGAAUAUAUAUAUAUUUUUGGCUGUUUUGAAUUGAGAUC